CCUCGCUUGAUCGUCGUUGCUCCUUACCCGGUUCACUCACCCUCGUCAUCCGUUCAGUCGGCUGGGCUCAUCCUCCGGUCCUCACCUCUCGGGCUUCCUCCACGGCGCCCUCCCGGCUCCUCCCUGCUCCUCGCCUCACCACCCGUGCCUCGCCCGCUCCUUGGUCCUCCGUGCCCGCGUCCCCUGGCGUCCACCUCUCCUCCCUCACCUCUUCCUUAGCCCCCCCGUGAACCCUCAAUAAAACCUCCUUCACUCUGA
Micropterus dolomieu (smallmouth bass) is the source of this 258-nucleotide long non-coding RNA. RefSeq lists it as uncharacterized. The record is from RefSeq and is a predicted model, not a curated record. The transcript is spliced from 2 exons. NCBI's taxonomy places the organism in Eukaryota, Metazoa, Chordata, Actinopteri, Centrarchiformes, Centrarchidae.